CGCUGAAGCCUUUGGGUGGUACCUGCUCACGCUCAAAACAAGGGUUUAUAUCUCAUACGCUCUAACACUCAGCUAUGCUCCAAAUCCAUCACCACACCAGUCAACAAAACAGUCGUCACCGCCCUCCAUCGCCUUCCCCUCUGCCGCCAACAAAACAGCCUCGCACAGCCCCCUCCUCGCCGUUCACACAGUCGCCCCCCCUGCCUUUCGCUUUGGUCGCCGUCAGUAUGUAUAUACACAGCAGGGGAAGGUCGCCGGUCGCUGUUAAAAUCUCCGGUCUCCAUCGUCACAAGUGAAGCAUUUCGAUUACAAGUGAAAUAGGUGAUAUUUGACAUCGUCACAAGAGUAAAGCACAAGCUCUUUGUGGUUAAGGAUUUUUUUGUUCAGAUUGUGCAAGCACUUCUUGUCUACCACGGUUGUACAUAAGAGUUGGCAUAGGCACUAUCAAAUCCUCAUGAAAUGGGAUCUUACGAAAUGUAUCUCUUCUUUUUGGGGUAAUGCAUUUAAUGUCAUAGAAAAAGAUUUAUGCCGGUUAAUGAUGCAUUACUGUCAUUAUUAAGUGUAUAAAACAAAUAUUAACUUCAAAUGUUUUAC
Long non-coding RNA from Ipomoea nil (Japanese morning glory), 594 nucleotides. RefSeq lists it as uncharacterized. Lineage: Eukaryota; Viridiplantae; Streptophyta; Magnoliopsida; Solanales; Convolvulaceae. The transcript is spliced from 3 exons. The record is from RefSeq and is a predicted model, not a curated record.